AAAUCAUUUUCCCUCCCACAUAUUUAACUCUCCCUCCAAUUUCUAAUUGGACCAAAAAAAAAACAAUUCAUAAACAAUAUAAUAACUCUCAGCUCAGAAAUCAUAAUCUAAGAAACUCGCAACUCCCAGCUGACAGUUCACAAACUCAGAAACUCGCAACUCUCAGCUCAGAAUUUUUUUCAUCACAAGAUUCUCAGUUUUCGAUUUCUUCCAACUCAUGAUUUCUCCCAAUUUCUUUUUUUGUAUGAAUGAUCCGUACAAAGAAGCAGAUGAUGCCCUAAUUGGACUGAAUUUUUGUUGGAAAUUUCUGCACUAAUUUCAGUCUUUGUCAGUUUCAAUUAUUGAAAUUUCCUUAUUUUGCACUUUACACACAGUGUUUCACAGAAGAUCUAGGUUUUCAUCACAUUUGAAGGAUUUUGUGGAAUAUAAGUAGUUUAUAAGGUAGAAAUUUAUAUCUUUUUAAGAACUGGGUUUAUUUCAUGAGGGGAAACAUACCCUUUUUUAAUUGAGUAACUAAAAAAAUAUUUGGGUUUAUUACAUGUUUGUUUUUGUGUUUGUUUAUUAGUGGGUUUACAUAUUUAGCUUGUGGGUUUUGAUUUUCUUGUGUUGUUAAUCCAUUGCUAGAUAAAUCCAUAUUCCGAUGCUCUUUUAUACUGGUGUGAUUACUAAUAGAUAGUGUCAGUUAUUCUAGGUGUCAGACACUUUGUUUAGUUGGGUGGAUUUACAAGCAAAGUUAAACAGCGAGUUGCUAUGAAACUUGGGCAAUUUCGUCAAUAGAGUCCUGAGUUUCAUUGCAAAAGAUCCGGUGACUCUGAUACAUGUACUAGAUGACAUGGUUUGUUAUGCUGUUUCAUUUUUCUGUUACUGGUAUUGUCUACUUGACUCCUUUUCUGGUUCAUUAAUGAAUAUUACCGCUUCUCUUUCUUGGGAGUCAGUAAAAUAAUCUGCCUACCACCUUAAAUUGUAAUGCUAGUAUAUCAUCGACAUGAGAAAACUGGAAGGAAAUAUUUCUUGCUUCUUUCCUUGAAAGAUAAAAAGGGGACAAGUUCUUGGCAGAAAAAUGUUUUCCAUUGGAAACGUGCCUUGGUUCUUUCAUGGUUAAUUUGGAAAUAUCUUUCUACUAGUCACACAUUUGAAACAAGGUAUCUUGCUACUAGUAUGUCUAUGAUAACUCAAAGGAAAGAGUCCUGUUUCUUCUAAAAAGGAUAGAGAGGGAACUGAAAUUUGUUGUUUGUUUUGCAUCAAGAACAUUUAGAUUUUAAAUUAGAAAAUGACUGAAACUUGGUACAGCUUCAGGUUAUGGUUCUGUUAUUCCCAAUCCUGUAGGAGAUGAAUCACACCCUUUAACUAGGGCCCUGGGUGAAAAGGUUGGACAUUAUGUGGAGCAAUAUGUAGAAGCCAUGGAGAAGGUUAAAUUAAAGCAAGGUUUGAAGAUUGUGAUGUCCAUUUCUGGAGAAGGAAAUGGUUAUUUGCAAUGCUGAAACUCCCAUCGGGUCCUAACAGGCCUCUGCCAUACCUACUUACUUUGGUUCCUCCGCUGAUACUUUCACUGCUAGAUCUAUUCUUCAAAGCAUUGGAUUUUACUGGAACAUAUGGAGUGUUUUAGGAGGCGGGAGCGUGAGGCGAUGCGUUUUACAUACCACGGGGCAAGGCGUAAGUCUCAAGGUCAGGACGGAGCCACCUUGUACUAAAGCUAAGACAGGAGCAAGUAAGACUGCUAACACAGGAAGGUUGAGAGACAUAGAAGACCUCAUACACCACUUCCUUAUAAUUGUGUUAAGAGCACUCAAUGCACCGGAAGGAUGGAUGGCAGGAAAACUGCGGGUGAUCAAAUUUUAGUGGUGGCCACCACAAGUGAUCAAGUCGAUCUAGAUUGAAACGGAUGAUGAACUUUUUGAGCUAUUCGGAUAUAUGUUUAAAUACAUUUGGUUUUGUGUGGAACUUAGUACAAAUCUUUAAAAUGUUAUUUUCUAAUUAGUAUGUGUAGUAAAAGACAUGUUUUUUUGAAGUUCAUUGCAAAUCUAUGUAUUUGAAUUAUUUAUUAGCUAGUUGGUGCGUGAGAUUAUAUAUAUGUAAUGUGAUUAGUGAUGUAUACAUUCGGACAAAAAUAAUUAUUAUUUAGGCUUAAAGCCUUUUCUG
Molecule: long non-coding RNA, 2139 nt
Organism: Capsicum annuum
Lineage: Eukaryota; Viridiplantae; Streptophyta; Magnoliopsida; Solanales; Solanaceae
Exons: 7
Source: RefSeq, a predicted model, not a curated record